This 447-nucleotide ribosomal RNA is filed under the name uncultured bacterium. Its description in RNAcentral is "partial 16S ribosomal RNA". It matches the Rfam family "Bacterial small subunit ribosomal RNA", at positions 29 to 523 of the family's 1533-position model. The record is from RNAcentral.
AACGAACGCUGGCGGCAGGCUUAACACAUGCAAGUCGAGCGCCCCGCAAGGGGAGCGGCAGACGGGUGAGUAACGCGUGGGAAUCUACCUUUUGCUACGGAAUAACGCAGGGAAACUUGUGCUAAUACCGUAUGUGCCCUUCGGGGGAAAGAUUUAUCGGCAAAGGAUGAGCCCGCGUUGGAUUAGCUAGUUGGUGGGGUAAAGGCCUACCAAGGCGACGAUCCAUAGCUGGUCUGAGAGGAUGAUCAGCCACAUUGGGACUGAGACACGGCCCAAACUCCUACGGGAGGCAGCAGUGGGGAAUAUUGGACAAUGGGCGCAAGCCUGAUCCAGCCAUGCCGCGUGAGUGAUGAAGGCCUUAGGGUUGUAAAGCUCUUUCACCGGUGAAGAUAAUGACGGUAACCGGAGAAGAAGCCCCGGCUAACUUCGUGCCAGCCGCCGCGGUAA